This 1246-nucleotide ribosomal RNA is filed under the name Dandelion virescence phytoplasma. RNAcentral's name for it is "bacterial SSU rRNA". It matches the Rfam family "Bacterial small subunit ribosomal RNA", at positions 154 to 1399 of the family's 1533-position model. Lineage: Bacteria; Bacillati; Mycoplasmatota; Mollicutes; Acholeplasmatales; Acholeplasmataceae. The record is from RNAcentral.
GAACGACUGCUAAGACUGGAUAGGAAAAGCAAAAGCAUCUUUACUUUUUUAAAAGACCUUCUUUGAAGGUAUGCUUAAGGAGGGGCUUGCGACACAUUAGUUAGUUGGCAGGGUAAAGGCCUACCAAGACUAUGAUGUGUAGCUGGACUGAGAGGUUGAACAGCCACAUUGGGACUGAGACACGGCCCAAACUCCUACGGGAGGCAGCAGUAGGGAAUUUUCGGCAAUGGAGGAAACUCUGACCGAGCAACGCCGUGUGAACGAUGAAGUACCUCGGUAUGUAAAGUUCUUUUAUUAAGGAAGAAAAAAGAGUGGAAAAACUCCCUUGACGGUACUUAAUGAAUAAGCCCCGGCUAAUUAUGUGCCAGCAGCCGCGGUAAUACAUAAGGGGCAAGCGUUAUCCGGAAUUAUUGGGCGUAAAGGGUGCGUAGGCGGUUUAAUAAGUCUAUAGUUUAAUUUCAGUGCUUAACGCUGUUGCGCUAUAGAAACUGUUUUACUAGAGUAAGAUAGAGGCAAGCGGAAUUCCAUGUGUAGCGGUAAAAUGCGUAAAUAUAUGGAGGAACACCAGAGGCGUAGGCGGCUUGCUGGGUCUUUACUGACGCUGAGGCACGAAAGCGUGGGGAGCAAACAGGAUUAGAUACCCUGGUAGUCCACGCCGUAAACGAUGAGUACUAAGUGUCGGGCAAAACCGGUACUGAAGUUAACACAUUAAGUACUCCGCCUGAGUAGUACGUACGCAAGUAUGAAACUUAAAGGAAUUGACGGGACUCCGCACAAGCGGUGGAUCAUGUUGUUUAAUUCGAAGAUACACGAAAAACCUUACCAGGUCUUGACAUUUUCUUGCGAAGUUAUAGAAAUAUAAUGGAGGUUAUCAGGAAAACAGGUGGUGCAUGGUUGUCGUCAGCUCGUGUCGUGAGAUGUUAGGUUAAGUCCUAAAACGAGCGCAACCCUUGUCGUUAAUUGCCAGCAUGUAAUGAUGGGGACUUUAACGAGACUGCCAAUGAAAAAUUGGAGGAAGGUGGGGAUUACGUCAAAUCAUCAUGCCCCUUAUGAUCUGGGCUACAAACGUGAUACAAUGGUUGAUACAAAGAGUAGCUGAAACGCGAGUUCUUAGCCAAUCUCACAAAAUCAAUCUCAGUUCGGAUUGAAGUCUGCAACUCGACUUCAUGAAGUUGGAAUCGCUAGUAAUCGCGAAUCAGCAUGUCGCGGUGAAUACGUUCUCGGGGUUUGUACACACCGCCCGUCA